GGCUCAGAAGCAGCCACCAUUUAAAGAGUGCGUAAUAGCUCACUGGUCGAGAGACGCUGCGCCGAAAAUGUCCGGGGCUCAAGCACGGAACCGAAGCUAUGGCAUGAUAGCAAUAUCAUGGGUAGGGGAGCGUUCUUAUAAGGAAGAAGCAUGACCGGAAGGACAUGUGGACGAAUAAGAAGUGAGAAUGCCGGUAUGAGUAUCGAAAAGAAAGGUGAGAAUCCUUUCCACCGAAAGCCCGAGGGUUCCUGAGCAACGAUCGUCGACUCAGGGUAAGUCGGGACCUAAGCCGAGGCGGAAAGCGUAGGCGAUGGACAACAGGUUGAAAUUCCUGUACCGGAUCAAGUCGAUCGAGCGAAGGAGCGACGCAGGAGGGCACAUGAUCGCGCGGCUGGAAGAGCGCGUCCAAGUGCGUAUGUUGCAGCAGAGGAAAACCCCUGCAGCUAAAAGCAGAGACAUGAUGGGGAGUUAAAGGAAACUUUGACGAACUCAUGGAUCCCACACUGCCAAGAAAAACUUCUAGCGAGACAAGAUCCGCCCGUACCGUAAACCGACACAGGUAGGCGGGGAGAGAAUCCUAAGGUGCGCGGGAAAACCCUCGUUAAGGAACUCGGCAAAUUGCAUCCGUAACCUAGGGAGAAGGAUGGCCCCCGGUCAGUGAAGAGCAGAAACGCUCAGAGCUAAAAGGGGCGGCAGAAAAGAGGCCCAAGCAACUGUUUACCAAAAACACAGGUGCCUGCGAAAGCGAAAGCUGAAGUAUAGGUGCUGACGCCUGCCCGGUGCCGGAAGGUUAAGGAGAGAAGUUAGCGAAAGCGAAGCAUCGAACUGAAGCCCCGGUGAACGGCGGCCGUAACUAUAACGGUCCUAAGGUAGCGAAAUUCCUUGUCGGGUAAGUUCCGACCCGCACGAAAGGUGUAAUGAUUUGGGCACUGUCUCAACGAGGGACCCGGUGAAAUUGAAAUACCUGUGAAGAUGCAGGUUACCCGCGACUGGACAGAAAGACCCCAUGGAGCUUCACUGCAGCUUGAGAUUGAAUCCCGGUGACAGAUGCACAGGAUAGGUGGGAGGCGCCGAAGCAUUGCCCUAGGGCGGUGCGGAGCCGAUGUUGGGAUACCACCCUUCUGUUGCUGAGAUUCUAACGCGAGGAGUAACGACCCUGCGGACCCUCUCAGGCAGGCGGUUUGACUGGGGCGGUCGCCUCCGAAAGAGUAACGGAGGCGCCCAAAGGUUCCCUCAGGCCGGACAGAAACCGGCCGAAGAGUGCAAAGGCAGAAGGGAGCUUGACUGCGAGACCAACAAGUCGAGCAGAGACGAAAGUCGGGCUUAGUGAUCCGGUGGUACUGAGUGGAAAGGCCAUCGCUCAACGGAUAAAAGCUACCCUGGGGAUAACAGGCUAAUCUCUCCCAAGAGUUCAUAUCGACGGGGAGGUUUGGCACCUCGAUGUCGGCUCAUCACAUCCUGGGGCUGGAGUAGGUCCCAAGGGUUGGGCUGUUCGCCCAUUAAAGUGGUACGCGAGCUGGGUUCAAAACGUCGUGAGACAGUUUGGUUCAUAUCCAUCGCGGGCGUAAGAAGUUUGAGAGGAGCUGCUCCUAGUACGAGAGGACCGGAGUGGACGGAUCAACGGUGUCCCAGUUGUCACGCCAGUGGCACGGCUGGAAAGCCGCAUCCGGGAAGGAUAAACGCUGAAAGCAUCUAAGCGCGAAGCCAACCUCAAGAUGAGACUUCUCAUCAGCAAUGAGUAAGACCCCUUACAGACGAUGAGGUAGAUAGGUUAUGAGUGGAAGAGCCGCAAGGCUUGGAGCGACAUAAAACUAAUAGGUCGAGGUCUUAACUUA
RNAcentral lists this ribosomal RNA (1835 nucleotides) under human gut metagenome. RNAcentral's name for it is "bacterial LSU rRNA". It matches the Rfam family "Bacterial large subunit ribosomal RNA", at positions 1103 to 2925 of the family's 2925-position model. The record is from RNAcentral.